GUACACUCGGCCUCUUUUCACUCCAGACGCGAGAUGUAGCAUAGGCGAGAUUCUCGUCUACCGUGGGAGCAUGCUGCCUGUAGCAGAUGGGGCUGAUGGCCGGACCUCCAUCAAAGCCCGUCUCGCUAUGCAGCAUUGCUCCCGGGCCCUCAACAUCUCCAGCAUCUGCGCCUCUUAACAAUGCAACCUUCAAUGAGCAGGUGAUGCAGGAUUAUGUACAUAUUCGCACUCUGGCGCAAGAACUGCUCGGUGCGAAUAUUAAAUUCACUUAAUAUCUGUGGCGAGCAGCUCUCUCGCCGCUUGCCGCUGCUCCCGCGGUAUCUGGGAGUCAAGAACCUAAACUGCCUUCACGCAAAGCCUCGCCAUUGAAAUAUGCAGCGAACGUGUCCCACCUCUUGCCAAGAUGCAUCGUCGAAGCAUUUUACAGCAGGAAAAUCGCGACAAGCUACAAGUAAAGAAGUCGUUAUGUUUUUUUUUUUAAUAGCUUAGGCUAGUUUGCGUUUUGCAAAUUUUUUUUUCUCGUAGGAUAAGAUAUGCAGCGGAUCAGUCUUCAAGAGUUUUGAGUAUGACUGGUUGUAUAUGCAUAAGAAGUAAAAUUAUGGUUUUUUUUUUCUUAGUGUAAGUACAUACAGGUUAAUGUAUAACAGCCGAGUUAUCCGAAAGCUUUCUUUAGGUUAUAUUUAGGAUAUAUUUAGACAAGCUUAGGUUUAGGGUAUCAUCGAUAUGCAAACGGAUUGACUAAUGUGCCUUCACCUCGGAAUCAAAUCGCUUAAGAAUUGUGGAAACAGACAAUUCCACAGGGUAAACGUUUCGCUAAUAUAAGUUUACUUGGUAUUAUCAAUAAGAUAAGAUAUGAAACGGAUCAGUCCUAUCAAUGAUUGGUUUGCCUUAGAAGAUUAUAUUUUGGUUUGUUAUUUUUUUUUGUAGGAUAAUAUGUGCAACGGAGCAACUUGGGUAGUUCUUUUUUUUAGGAUUGAUUCUUUAUCAAUUUUUUGAUCUUUGUCCUUACUGUUAAUAUAGAAGUACUGUACGGUUCAUGCAGUUUUAUGUACAACAAAAUAGUUGUACCGUAGCUUUAUAUGGGUUCAGGGUAAUGUUAAGAUAGACUUAAUUUAGUUUUAGCAUGUCAUUUAUUUGCACGCGGAUCGGAUAGUCGCCUCAAAUCAAUUGAUGUGAAAAGAAACAAACGAACUUCGUAAUGUACAAAACUACAACAGUAUAUGCGAGUUUUUUUAGAUUAAGGUUAACAAGCAUUCUUAUAAAUAAGUUUUUACAGCACGUUAUUUUAAGGAUAUCUUUCACCACAAACGAGUCACUUUUGGGUUUUGGGAAUAUAUGUUCAUGUUAUUAGUUAUUAGUUUUAUUAAUAGUUUCGUUAGAUACGAAAUUACUGUUAUGCCCAUUGUACUUUUAGUAUACCGCGUAACCUACCAUUUAAGACUGAUUUGUAUAUGAUUUGGGAGUUGUCUAUAUAAGUUUUAGCGUUGCUCCAGCGAGUCCGGAGACGUGCAGCCGUGUGAUCUAUCACCCGAAGUUAAUAAUCAAUCUAAACCAAAAUCUUCAGGUGGUAGAAGUUUGUUGGUGCCAUCUGAAGCUUUCGAUUAGAUUGAUUAUCAUUAAUUUCAGAUGUAUGACGCUUCGCAGUGUAUACGAACGAUUUACGUACGUAAUUUGGAAAUUAGUUUCUAAUUGCCAACCAGUAAAAUCGUACCGCCGAGCGUAUCUGUGGCGUCAUACAAAUUGAGACAUGGUUGCUUACCGCCUUGUUAAAAUAUAGUUUAGAUUUAGCGUAAGAUUUAGUGCCACCGAACGAAAAAACAAUCUGAUUAGUGAUAGCUGACGUGAGUACGACAUCAUGUCAUCUUUCAGCAAUCUGAUUGGCACAGCCACACCACUUAUCUGUAUCAUCACAGGGUAGACGCUGCCUUGCUUAGUUUGUAAGAUUUAUACUUAAUAUAUUUUGCAUGCUAUUUCGUUCGCAGUGUCAUGUCUACGCCUCACAGACCCACUUAAUGAUACUUGCUUAUUUUAUUUUAGUUUGUAUUUUUUUCUUUACUUUUUUUUUGUAUUUGUACACAAAGUACAAAUUUAGAUUUAAUAAAGCAGCACGUCAUUCCAA
Long non-coding RNA from Pararge aegeria (speckled wood butterfly), 2119 nucleotides. RefSeq lists it as uncharacterized. The transcript is spliced from 4 exons. NCBI's taxonomy places the organism in Eukaryota, Metazoa, Arthropoda, Insecta, Lepidoptera, Nymphalidae. The record is from RefSeq and is a predicted model, not a curated record.